RNAcentral lists this ribosomal RNA (253 nucleotides) under uncultured bacterium. RNAcentral describes it as "partial 16S ribosomal RNA". It matches the Rfam family "Bacterial small subunit ribosomal RNA", at positions 524 to 776 of the family's 1533-position model. The record is from RNAcentral.
UACGGAGGGGGUUAGCGUUGUUCGGAAUGACUGGGCGUAAAGCGCGCGUAGGCGGAUCUUUAAGUCAGGGGUGAAAUCCCGGGGCUCAACCCCGGAACUGCCCUUGAUACUGGGGAUCUUGAGUUCGAGAGAGGUUGGUGGAACUGCGAGUGUAGAGGUGAAAUUCGUAGAUAUUCGCAAGAACACCAGUGGCGAAGGCGGCCAACUGGCUCGACACUGACGCUGAGGCGCGAAAGCGUGGGGAGCAAACAGG